AGAGUUUGAUCAUGGCUCAGAUUGAACGCUGGCGGCAGGCCUAACACAUGCAAGUCGAGCGGUAGAGAGAAGCUUGCUUCUCUUGAGAGCGGCGGACGGGUGAGUAAUGCCUAGGAAUCUGCCUGGUAGUGGGGGAUAACGUUCGGAAACGGACGCUAAUACCGCAUACGUCCUACGGGAGAAAGCAGGGGACCUUCGGGCCUUGCGCUAUCAGAUGAGCCUAGGUCGGAUUAGCUAGUUGGUGAGGUAAUGGCUCACCAAGGCGACGAUCCGUAACUGGUCUGAGAGGAUGAUCAGUCACACUGGAACUGAGACACGGUCCAGACUCCUACGGGAGGCAGCAGUGGGGAAUAUUGGACAAUGGGCGAAAGCCUGAUCCAGCCAUGCCGCGUGUGUGAAGAAGGUCUUCGGAUUGUAAAGCACUUUAAGUUGGGAGGAAGGGUUGUAGAUUAAUACUCUGCAAUUUUGACGUUACCGACAGAAUAAGCACCGGCUAACUCUGUGCCAGCAGCCGCGGUAAUACAGAGGGUGCAAGCGUUAAUCGGAAUUACUGGGCGUAAAGCGCGCGUAGGUGGUUUGUUAAGUUGGAUGUGAAAUCCCCGGGCUCAACCUGGGAACUGCAUUCAAAACUGACUGACUAGAGUAUGGUAGAGGGUGGUGGAAUUUCCUGUGUAGCGGUGAAAUGCGUAGAUAUAGGAAGGAACACCAGUGGCGAAGGCGACCACCUGGACUAAUACUGACACUGAGGUGCGAAAGCGUGGGGAGCAAACAGGAUUAGAUACCCUGGUAGUCC
RNAcentral lists this ribosomal RNA (793 nucleotides) under uncultured bacterium. RNAcentral's name for it is "bacterial SSU rRNA". It matches the Rfam family "Bacterial small subunit ribosomal RNA", at positions 8 to 796 of the family's 1533-position model. The record is from RNAcentral.